Molecule: long non-coding RNA, 494 nt
Organism: Cucurbita maxima (winter squash)
Lineage: Eukaryota; Viridiplantae; Streptophyta; Magnoliopsida; Cucurbitales; Cucurbitaceae
Exons: 2
Source: RefSeq, a predicted model, not a curated record
UGUAUAUUUAUAAUUACAAACAUUUCGUUUGAUUCAAAUGGUUCUCCAGUCAAAUCGAGCUUAGCUGGGUGAUAGCCGACGUGUUUUUAACUACGAGAUCAUAUGUUUAAAAUGAAGGCACGAACCUUUGGUCAAUGCAUCUAAUAUCUUGUUUGACAUAUAUAGGGAAGAUGUUUGAUUAUUUCAACCCUAAAUAUUGUUGAACUAAAAAAUCGACGCAAAUCUAAUGUCUGGGUUGACAUACAGGUACGAUCAAAUUUUAGUUUAGAAAUAUGUAGGAACGAAGAAUCGAGUCAAACCGAGCUUAGCUCGAUAAUAAUUGACAUUUAUUCGAUUAAUAUAUAGGUUGACAUAUAAGUACGACACAAUUUAGGUUUUUUUAGUUUAUAAAUAUUUAGGAAUGAAAAUUAUAGUCAAAAUCGGGCUUAGUUUAGUGGCAAUUGAUAUAUAUUUACGCUAAAUCGAAGUCUAAAACUUUUUAACGUAAGAUAUUA